AAGAAAAUCCCAUUUGGAGUAUCAUAAGUAAUGGAAAUGCCUGAAGAAUAUAGGAUGAUGUUUGACAUAUUGGAUUAACAUGGUCUUAAUAGUAGAUCAAUGGCGAAGAAAAAGGGCUGGUUUGGUUGGGUCAAGAGGUUCUUUACUUCUGAAGCAAAGACAAGGACACAAAAGAAAUCAAACAACUGGAGAUGGAUUUUUCGAAGACUUGAAGUACUUCAUCAAUACCCUGCACAGGCUGCACUGACAGCACCAGA
This is a non-coding RNA of Prunus mume (Japanese apricot), 257 nucleotides long. The record is from RefSeq and is a predicted model, not a curated record. NCBI's taxonomy places the organism in Eukaryota, Viridiplantae, Streptophyta, Magnoliopsida, Rosales, Rosaceae.